GCUGGGCAUGGUGGCGCAUGCCUGUAAUCCCAGCAGCUUGGGAGGCUGAGGUAGUAGGAUCACAAGUUCAAAGCCAGCCUCAGCAACAGCGAGGUGCUAAGCAACUCAGUGAGACCCUGUCUCUA
This 125-nucleotide small RNA is filed under the name Marmota monax (woodchuck). Lineage: Eukaryota; Metazoa; Chordata; Mammalia; Rodentia; Sciuridae. The record is from RNAcentral.